Molecule: long non-coding RNA, 2484 nt
Organism: Brassica napus (rape)
Lineage: Eukaryota; Viridiplantae; Streptophyta; Magnoliopsida; Brassicales; Brassicaceae
Exons: 2
Source: RefSeq, a predicted model, not a curated record
AUAAAUCAAAACAAAAUAAAAAAGAGAUUAUCGAUCCUUAACUAGGGAUUUUGGAAACCGAUCCUUAGCUUGGUUUCCAACCACGUGUCCACUCGACGUCUCCUCCGAUUCUCCGCCUCCAACCUUCCUCGUCGUAGUCUGCGGACCUUCCUCUCACCCAGCGGUUGUACACCACCAUAGACGAUGGAGACUUCUCGGAAGAAGAGUUUGUCAGAGCUCCUCUCGCACUCCUCUGAUUCCGCGGCGGGAGCUGAGGAGGAGGCGGCGGAGGAAGAGGCGGAAACUUGCCGUCGGUUACGAUCGCCUUGGGGUUGUCGAGUUUGAACAGGGAUCCCUUGGGGGAAACGUAACGGCUCUCCGGUGGAUCUAUGGAUCGUUUGAGAAACCGUCGGAGAAGAAGAAGGGGCAUGUGCUUCCCAUGGCCGAGAUAUAAUCCUCACUCAAAUUGAUCGAGAUAUCAUCCAACGUUGAAGAGUUGUGUUACUAUCCUCUCAAAUCUCUCCCCAACAAUGGUGACAGCGAUGAGAAAAUUGAACCUGAUCACCUUCUUGUUCUUGUACACGGCAUCUUAGCCAGGUAUGAUAUGCCUUUGCAUCUUGGUUCUUGUAUUAUAGAUGCCUCUCAUUCAGGUUGGGAUAGUAAAAGCUUGCAAGUAUUGUUGUAUCUGAAAUUUUGUUUUUAUCAUUCCUGCUACAUUCUGUUUUAUAGUCCACUUAAUGUAUAGGUAUGGGUUGUUCUAGUCUUGAACUUGAGUGUAUAAGCUGAUUAUCUGUCUCCAUAUGAUGUGAGAGAGAGAAUAUAGGUUAGACAAGUUGUCCAAAAGAGCAACAGCUUAAAGAAGAUUUCCUUUUUAGCACACUCCCUCGGUGGCUUAUUUGCCAGACAUGCUGUUGCCGUUCUUUAUUCAGCAGCAGUGUCACAAGCCAGUCAUGGUGCUACUCUCUCUAACUCUGGGAACUCACAUCUUCCGCGAGGUAGCCUUGCUGGGCUCGAGCCGAUGAAUUCAUUACCUUGGCAACACCUCAUCUAGGAGUGAGAGGCAGAAAGCAGGUUCUAUCCAUUUCCUGUUAUAAUAAUUGGAACUCAUCAAUUGUUUAGUAUGAUGUUAAAACGGUAGUUCUUUGGUCCCUCCCAUUUUUGGAAUUAUGUGACUGAUCAUAGAGGAAAUUGUAGUGUCCACUCUAGCUCAACCCCCAUAGCAAUUACUGAGUAAAAAGAAAACAAUUUUUUUUUUGAGGUUAAGAUUUCGCUAAAAGAAAAUCAAAAUGGAACAAUUGUUUGUAGAGAUUCACUAGAGAUGUUUUUGGCAGUUCAUAUAAUUUUAAUAAUUUUUUUUUAAGAAACCUUAAUUAAGAAACUCCCAUUGGACCACUCAAAAUGGGAGUUUCUUAACUAAAGUUCUUAGGUUACUUUUAUUAAUUAAAACGUCAUUAAGAAACCCAUUAGGGGUGAUAGAGAUAAUCAUGCUCUUAAAGACACUAAUAGCUUAGAUAAGCACAGACAACACACAACACACGUCAAACCAAUAGUUGCGUACAUCUUCCUCCUCUUUCUACUUGGAUGAGGAAGGUCUUGCGCCAUCAUCUUUGGCGUUAACCUCGUUGUCAUGUUUUUCGAGCGCAAGCUUGUACAUUUCACAUAGUGGCUGAUUCUCAACCUCUUUCAAGUGUUUGAAUCUGCUACAAAGAUACUCCCUAGCCUGAGUAGCACCAAUCUCCUUUUUUUUACCGCCUUCAAGUUCUCUGAGGAUUCUCUUCACCUCCUGUAGCUUAGUCUCCUCUUUACAUGUUCUCUUCUCCUUGUUCUUCAAUUGGACGAUAAAUUUAACUAUCAUCUCAAACCUAGUUGGCGGUUUGAUGACAUACAUCUCAUGCAGGUACGUGUCGACCAUGUUGGGCUUAACAGAGUGUUCACCAGUCAUUUCUCCUUCUCGAACCUCAACUUUCAGAAUUUUCUUGUUGCAGAAGACGUUGAAAACUUUUUCAUAACCCUCAACUUCGAUAGAACCAUCUUCAAGCAAACGGGGAGGAUCGAAGUUCGUGAGUACCAAUGGAGCGAGCUUUAUCGCAGUGUCAUAACCCAUAACCUUCCAAAAUUUAGAAAGCUCAAAGACUUUGGCUUCUUCAAGAGGAAUACGCGCAACAUGAGAGUGAGUAGUAUCCACGAUGUAAUGGACAGCCUUGGUAGCAAGCUCCUUAAGAUACUUUGACAUUUUUUUUGUGUUUUUUUUCUUUCUUUUUCUUUGAAAAUCGGAGUGGAGAUGGUGAAGAAGAAAGCUUGUAUGUUGUAUUUAUUUAAUAUCUCUACUCUAUUAUUUUUGGUUACGUUUGCUCAGUUUAGAUAGAUUUUCCCUAUUAGUGCUUGAAAACAGAUUAUGGAGCAGAUAAACAUAGUUUUCCAUAACUUUAUGUUUUAGGGUUUAAAAAUGUGACUUUUGGCCCAUGUAUUCAAACGUUAUAUCAAUAAAUUUUUGGUACUCUCCUA